Molecule: long non-coding RNA, 1431 nt
Organism: Hemicordylus capensis (graceful crag lizard)
Lineage: Eukaryota; Metazoa; Chordata; Lepidosauria; Squamata; Cordylidae
Exons: 5
Source: RefSeq, a predicted model, not a curated record
UUUUCUGCCGAGAAGCCCGCCCUCCCUGUCUGGCCCAGGAACGCUCCCCGCGCUCUCCUUCCCCUCCAGUCAAACCUCGGGUUUUUCCCGCUAUGUGCGCGCAUCUAGUCAUGCUCUCGAAGCACCGUCCCUGGAUUUACAAGGCCGUAAUUUCCAGAGGCUACAGUGUCCGCUAUGGGGUAGUAGGGGGAAGUUGAGCCUAGAGAGCAUUCACAGACGGAGCUCCACCUUUCUUUCCUCACUCCAAAUCUAAAGGCUCUAUUUCUCGCUUCCCACCCAUUCAAACCAGCUCCAGUGGAGAGUCUGCAUACUUUCCUAGGCAAAGCCCUGGAACACAGAGAACCAUCGUUUUCCGCCAGUCAGUGGGGGAAUCUCGACGGAGCGACACCCUUCCGCCCCUCUCUCCAAGGGAUGACCAAAACUGAGUAAGCGAGCUGCCAGGGAGGGAAUAAGCUGGCGCCGGGGACAAGGCGCGCGCUCUCCCAAGUCGCCCUGCAUCCCUCAUCAGGAGAACCCGAACCAACCCACCCAAUUCGAGGGAGAGAAAGGGAAAGGGGCGAGAAAAGCCCCUGCACACACUUACUUGGCUCCGUCCCUGCGCUUGGCGGUCCCGGCCUCAGCAGCUCCCGUCAGUAUGAGAAUGCGGAGGCGAAAGAGCGUUGUGGGCAGGGACGGGCGUGGAAACCAGUUCCAGCAUGUCAGAGGAGUGUUACACACGGCAAACCCUGCCCUGACGGCCGCCGCCAAAAAAGCGAAGCAGGAACCUGUUUGAACUCAGAAGGCCCAGCCCUUCUCCGAGCAAAGUACGACAUGCCUGCCUACUUCCCAUUGUCACUUCGCAGCUGCUGCUGUUUCAGAAGGGCAGGCGGAGUGAUUUCAACAUAGCCAUAUGGUGAAAUAUGCCAGGGUGCUGUUGCCUUAUACACAACUUUGCAUAUCUGAAGUGUAUUAUUAGAUUUGAGCUCAGAUGCUAUACAGAAAUCCCACUGAAAGCCUACGUUUCAGGUGUAAGGAUCUAAUCAGCAUCUGGAAUUCAGGGGGGAAAUGAAUAUAUGACAUACUUCUGAAGAAGAUUGUUUUCGAAACUGGCGAAGAUAUUCUAGGAUGCCUGUUAGGGGAUUCACAUAUCUCCUAUUUGUGAAGAAUGAAGAUUUGUUUUUGCAAUCUCCGGCUUUGAAGUAUUUUUCAUGUUAUAUACUCCAGCUGAGAAGAUUGGACUUUGAACAUUUACAUUUGCCCAUUGUUCCAUCUUUACCAUCAUUGCAUAUGCUGGUUCCAUGUAUGGUUUGGAAUUUGAUAUAUAAACUGCAUAUUUACAUAUAUGUUUGUGUCAUAUACAUUCACCUUUCACAACUGGUUCACAGAUUUUAUUUAUUUAUUACAUUUAUAAACUGCCCCAUCCAGAGGCUCUGGGCGGUGCUUGGUUUUUGA